Molecule: ribosomal RNA, 205 nt
Filed under: uncultured bacterium
Lineage: Bacteria
Description: partial 16S ribosomal RNA
Rfam family: Bacterial small subunit ribosomal RNA
Source: RNAcentral
CACGUAGGCACCAAGCGUUGUCCGGAUUUAUUGGGCGUAAAGAGCUCGUAGGCGGUUUGUCGCGUCUGCUGUGAAAACCUAAGGCUCAACCUUGGGCUUGCAGUGGGUACGGGCAGACUAGAGUGCGGUAGGGGUGACUGGAAUUCCUGGUGUAGCGGUGAAAUGCGCAGAUAUCAGGAGGAACACCGAGUGGCGAAGGCAGGUC